RNAcentral lists this non-coding RNA (18 nucleotides) under Rattus norvegicus (Norway rat). Lineage: Eukaryota; Metazoa; Chordata; Mammalia; Rodentia; Muridae. The record is from RNAcentral.
GUUUGUGUUGUGCGAAAC